Molecule: ribosomal RNA, 468 nt
Filed under: uncultured bacterium
Lineage: Bacteria
Description: partial 16S ribosomal RNA
Rfam family: Bacterial small subunit ribosomal RNA
Source: RNAcentral
GACGAACGCUGGCGGCGUGCUUAACACAUGCCAGUCGAACGGAAAGGCCCUGCUUUUGUGGGGUGCUCGAGUGGCGAAAGGGUGAGUAACACGUGAGUAACCUGCCCUUGACUUUGGGAUAACUUCAGGAAACUGGGGCUAAUACCGGAUAGGAGCUCCGGCUGCAGGGUGGGGGUUGGAAAGUUUCGGUGGUUGGGGACAGACUCGCGGCUUAUCAGCUUGUUGGUGGGGUAGUGGCUUACCAAGGCUUUGACGGGUAGCGGGCCUGGGAGGGUGACCGGCCACAUUGGGACUGAAAUAAGGCCCAGACUCCUACGGGAGGCAGCAGUGGGGAAUAUUGCACAAUGGGCGGAAGCCUGAUGCAGCAACGCCGCGUGCGGGAUGACGGCCUUCGGGCUGUAAACCGCUUUCGCCUGUGACGAAGCGUGAGUGACGGUAAUGGGUAAAGAAGCACCGGCUAACUACGUG